CCUUCCCUUGCACAUCGAUCACCAGCAAAGCACUGAGACCGGAACUUUGGACUAGGGAAAAUGUUCCAGUACGGCACAUUUUACUGAAACCUACACGCUCUGGAAAGGCGCCAUCUUAAGUGUGGCACGGUUCAGGAAUGGUAAUCUUCAGUCAUCAAUCCUCAGUAACUGUUUUAUCCUAAUCAGCAUGAUGGUAAAUCUGGAGCUUAUCUCAGGAACACUGGGCGUGAGGCGGGAAUACACCUGAUGGGAUGCUAGACCAUCAGAGAGCACCAUGUGCACACACACCCAUACACACACACACACACACAUUCACACACUCAUUCAGUGUAGCCAAUGCACCUUCUGGCAUGUUUUUUGAAGUUUAAGGAAUGGUUUGUUUAAAAUCUUUUGUUAGUCAGGCAGUUGUUUAAUUCAAACAACCAUUUGAUAUCUCAUAAUGAACUGUACAGUAUGUUUAAGUGUUAAUUAUUAUUUAGGCAAUAUUUUAUUGUAUAAUCCUUUCUGGUUCAGAGUGGUGGGUUAAAUCCCAGAUAGUUUCCUUACUUCCUCCAUGAAGGGUAUCCAUCCAUUUUCUGUACCGAUUAUCCUAAACAGGGUUACAGGGAGCCUUAUGCACAUUGGGGCACAAGGUAGGGGGCACCCUGGAUGGGGUGUCAACCUAUCGCAGGGCACAAUCUCACACACUCCCAUUCACACACUACGGACAAUUUAGAGAUGCCAAUCAGCCUACAACGCAUGUCUUUGGAUUGGGGGAGUUAACCAGAGUACCCAAAGGAAACCCGAGAAGCACAGGGAGAACAUGCAAGAAGGGAUUCAAACCCCCAACCUUGGAGG
This is a long non-coding RNA of Ictalurus punctatus (channel catfish), 837 nucleotides long. RefSeq lists it as uncharacterized. The transcript has 2 exons. The record is from RefSeq and is a predicted model, not a curated record. Lineage: Eukaryota; Metazoa; Chordata; Actinopteri; Siluriformes; Ictaluridae.